CGGGUGAGUAACGCGUAGGUAACCUGCCUGGUAGCGGGGGAUAACUAUUGGAAACGAUAGCUAAUACCGCAUAAGAACAUUUACUGCAUGGUAGAUGUUUAAAAGGUGCAAAAGCAUCACUACCAGAUGGACCUGCGUUGUAUUAGCUAGUUGGUGAGGUAACGGCUCACCAAGGCAACGAUACAUAGCCGACCUGAGAGGGUGAUCGGCCACACUGGGACUGAGACACGGCCCAGACUCCUACGGGAGGCAGCAGUAGGGAAUCUUCGGCAAUGGGGGGAACCCCUGACCGAGCAAACGCCGCGUGAGUGAAGAAGGUUUUCGGAUCGUAAAAGCUC
RNAcentral lists this ribosomal RNA (338 nucleotides) under Streptococcus constellatus. RNAcentral describes it as "bacterial SSU rRNA". It matches the Rfam family "Bacterial small subunit ribosomal RNA", at positions 103 to 433 of the family's 1533-position model. Lineage: Bacteria; Bacillati; Bacillota; Bacilli; Lactobacillales; Streptococcaceae. The record is from RNAcentral.